GCGGAAGAAGAAGGAGAAAAUAUCGAAGAAGAUGACCGAAGAUAAUUCCGUUGAGUACUCCUUUAAGAAUAAGGGUACUACGAAGACACAGCCCUUUUUCUAGCACUAAUUCUGUUGGUGUAGAAUUCUGCCGAUGUUGGAGAAGCUGGAGUUGAGGAGAUCGCAUCCGCCGUCGGGACCUGCAAGAGAAGUCUAAAUCAGAGUUGGGGGUGCUC
This 215-nucleotide long non-coding RNA is filed under the name Elaeis guineensis (African oil palm). Its description in RNAcentral is "long non-coding RNA (EGUI_LNC061610)". The record is from RNAcentral. Lineage: Eukaryota; Viridiplantae; Streptophyta; Magnoliopsida; Arecales; Arecaceae.